RNAcentral lists this ribosomal RNA (253 nucleotides) under uncultured bacterium. RNAcentral's name for it is "partial 16S ribosomal RNA". It matches the Rfam family "Bacterial small subunit ribosomal RNA", at positions 524 to 776 of the family's 1533-position model. The record is from RNAcentral.
UACGAAGGGGGCUAGCGUUGCUCGGAAUCACUGGGCGUAAAGCGCACGUAGGCGGCUUCUUAAGUCAGGGGUGAAAUCCUGGAGCUCAACUCCAGAACUGCCUUUGAUACUGGGGAGCUCGAGUCCGGAAGAGGUGAGUGGAACUGCGAGUGUAGAGGUGAAAUUCGUAGAUAUUCGGAAGAACACCAGUGGCGAAGGCGGCUCACUGGACCGGCAUUGACGCUGAGGUGCGAAAGCGUGGGGAGCAAACAGG